Molecule: ribosomal RNA, 253 nt
Filed under: uncultured bacterium
Lineage: Bacteria
Description: partial 16S ribosomal RNA
Rfam family: Bacterial small subunit ribosomal RNA
Source: RNAcentral
UACAGAGGUCCCAAGCGUUGUUCGGAUUCAUUGGGCGUAAAGGGUGUGUAGGUGGCGCGCUAAGUCGGGUGUGAAAUUUCGGAGCUUAACUCCGAAACUGCAUUCGAUACUGGCGUGCUUGAGGACUGGAGAGGAGACUGGAAUUCACGGUGUAGCAGUGAAAUGCGUAGAUAUCGUGAGGAAGACCAGUGGCGAAGGCGGGUCUCUGGACAGUUCCUGACGCUGAGGCGCGAAGGCCAGGGGAGCAAACGGG